UAGGGAAUCUUCCACAAUGGACGAAAGUCUGAUGGAGCAACGCCGCGUGAGUGAAGAAGGGUUUCGGCUCGUAAAGCUCUGUUGUUAAAGAAGAACACGUAUGAGAGUAACUGUUCAUACGUUGACGGUAUUUAACCAGAAAGCCACGGCUAACUACGUGCAG
Molecule: ribosomal RNA, 163 nt
Filed under: uncultured bacterium
Lineage: Bacteria
Description: partial 16S ribosomal RNA
Rfam family: Bacterial small subunit ribosomal RNA
Source: RNAcentral